This is a long non-coding RNA of Gallus gallus (chicken), 6806 nucleotides long. RefSeq lists it as uncharacterized. The record is from RefSeq and is a predicted model, not a curated record. The transcript is spliced from 7 exons. NCBI's taxonomy places the organism in Eukaryota, Metazoa, Chordata, Aves, Galliformes, Phasianidae.
GAGCAGAAGGCGGCGAUGUGCGCAGAGUCGGAGCAGGGAGAAAACCCCAGGGAAGAAAGCUCCAACUGCAGCUCCAGCUGCUCUCGGGAGGCAGAAGUGGGGAAAACCUACACUACAGCAAGGAGCAGCCAACGAGAAAGCCUUCUGUAUCCACUUCCCGGUUAAAACCCCAUCGCGGCAGACGUAGUUUUUCCUUCAAUUAUUAAUCUAUAUCUUAAAGGACAAAUCAGAGUGCCGAAACCACACAAUCGGGCCUUCCCUUACAGCCAGACUGCGUGGCCGAGCGCUGUACUUACGGACGCAACCCUAUACACAGCGAAGAAACAGCUCCGCUUCCCUUCCCCCACCGCCCUCACCCGCCUUCUCCGGCCCAGCAGAGCACGGCACGAGGCCCGGCCCCAGCGGCAUCCCGCCCCGCCCCGCCUGGCCGCGGGGUAGAGAGCGGGCGGGGGGUGCGAAAGGCGCGGGGACGGCUGAGGGGUGGUAUGCUGUGGGAGUUGGGCUUGGCGCCGCCGUCCUCCUCACGCCCUCCCUGCUCCUCAGGCAGCGAUCAUCUGUGAAAAAUGAGGGCAUCCAGCAACUCUCUGGGCAACCUGUGCCAGUGCCUCACCACCCUGAUUGUAAAAACCUUCCGUAUAUCCAAUCUAAAUCUCCCCUCUUUUAGUUUGGAACUACUUGCCCUUGUCCUGUCACAACAGACCCUGCUAAAGAGUCUGUCCUCUUCUUUCCUAUAGCCCCCCUUAGACACUGAAAGGAAUUGGGAUGGCCUAGCUAAGGUCUUAGCUUGACUUUGAGAUAUCUGGGACAGGAAUCUUGUCUUCUGUCGUGUUUCAUUAUGUGCAGCAGCUCAAGUGACGUGGAUUCUCUUGAAAGAAAGACUUCUAUGUGCUGCUCUUAUAAUGUGAAGAAACAAUUUGGCCAGCGUAAGGAGGGAAGCGCAUGCUGAUGCAGAAAGUAAUGUUGCAAACAGGCCAGCAAACACCCUAACUGAAUAAGAACACUUCCUGGGAGGAUCUUAAGAGGAGAAGUGUCACAAGUACAGAAAUUGAAAUCAAGUCCUCUGAUGUGUCCCCCAGGGCAUGGCAUGGCAGUUUGAGAGGACACGGCAAGGGUGAAACAUUUCUACAGCUUCAGUUACUCCUUGAACAGCUCUGCAAGUGUAAAGUGUAUUGAUUCGCAUUGGACCCAAUCCUGUAAAUCCAUGGGCACAAUCACCGUACCAAGCAGCCCCAACACCCUAUGAAGACAGCCAGGGGGGAAAAUGACCUCAGGGAGGCUUUGAACACACUCUUAACACUUCAUCAUAAUGGGAUGUAUGUCACUAAGACAACUGGAUGCAGUUAUUUCCUCCCAUCUUCCCCAUUAAAACAGCGUAAUGACAGCCGAUAACUCGGGUAUUCACAUGCUAAGAAAUGCCUAAACUUGUCUCUUGCAUUAGCCCUUUGCUUGAAAGUUGCUAGUGCAUCAUCUCCCCUCUGCAUAUACAAUCUAUUACUUCCUACUGCAUGGGUUAUAUUACCUCACUUAACAGGGAUAAACUCUUGCAAAUGAAAUGCCCGGCUCUAUCAAGGUCUGUGGUUUGUGUGUAUUCCAGGGAGCGUUUGUUUCCUGAUGUAAAAUCUCUCGCCUUCAGUUGGUCAUAGGCUGUUCUGUGCUGCGGUGCCCACCGAACUGCUGUAGCAGGUUAAUUUAUUCGUGUAUAAAAUGUGGACAUGCUUAUAUAACGUAGUAAGUGACCUGCUUUGAAUUUUGACAGGAUAAAAAGCACGAUUAGAUGCUGGUUGUAAAAUACAAGGGUAAAAGCAUCAAUGUGUUCCUAUUCUAAUUCCUUAUGUUGUCUCUGUGGGCGACAUUUUCCCCUCUUGUUUUUAGCCGGAUUUGGGCAAGCUUUAAACAAAAACUUCCAGCUUAAUUUGCAUGAGAGGCCGGCAAUGAUGGUUUGCCAUUAUUAAGAGCAGCAAACAAUUUUGUUACCUUUCCUAAGUAUCCCCGCAGCCAAAAGAGCUUGAGCUUUGAAUUUAGAAGUUACCAUGGAAAUAGCUCUUAGAGAAAAGUCUGUCUUUUCCCAUGUGAUGGUUGUUUCUCUUUUUUAGGGAAAUGUACAUUUCUCCCGUGAGUUUUAUGUGGGCAGCCGGCUGAUGAAAAACUCCUGUUAUUCUAAGCAGAAAGUACAUGCUGGAAACUUCCUAAUUUGCAGCUGCUUUGCCCUCCCAUUGUUCAGCCUAAGUGUUUUGUAAUCUGCUUCCUUGCUGAAGGUUGAAUUCAACAACGAGAUUUCAGCUCUGUUCUUGCCAUUUCUUAAUGCCGAUUGAGCACCCAGAACAGGAAACAAGGGAAAAAGCAAUCCCUGCCAGCUCACAGGAGCCUGCAGUGUGACGGUUUGAUGCUACGAGGUGCCCAUCAGUCCUGUCCUCGUGCUCUGAAGGCCACUUCCCUCUAACAACGACUGCUGGCACCGCCUGGACCGGUCCGGCAAGAAGGGAUUAAUUUGGCCCUUGAAGUCUAAGAUGUCUUGACAACCCCUGAGGGAACACAGACCUGUUGGCUCUGCACAGCGAAGGGAAGAACGCAGCUGGAUUGAGGAGAGAAAGCAGCUGGGAAGCACACUGAGCCACAAGCAGUGCUGUGUGCAGUACAACCAUCACUUGGAAUUUAGAGGGUGCCAGCGACUGACAAACCACCGGCCUUGGCUGCUUGGGAGAUCCCAGCGAUCCGUGCUGCCAGCUUAUCCCAGUGAAAGAGUGGGAUACACACAGCCGGUAAAUUUCCUUUUAUUUCCAGUUCCCUCACUGGAAGGAGAAGUACUGCAUGUUGGUGGAGUUCAGUGCUGCUGACCACGAAGCUGCAGUGCAGGCACGGAGGUACUCAUGACAAACAGGCAGGUCCUGCCCCAUUGCUCUUCCAGCAAUCAGCUGCACCGCGCUGUGAGGCAAUGAGCAGCGGGCACCGCAGCUUUUCAGAGCUCACAGCUCCUUGUAGCUGUUGGUUGAGCUAAAGUAUCUCAUUGCAUUCCUCACCAGCCUUAACAUUACAACUAAGGCCUUUUCAAGAUCCCCGGUUCAAACCGAGGGACAAUUCGAGGGGUCACUUCCUCACCUGAAAUGAAAAUUUUCAGCUUCAUCAAUCAGCAGCUGAAGGUUUGGUCUAGAAGGACAGAUUGUGAGAGGAGACAAAAAUAGCCCUUUUCUUCCCAUUUGCCAUGUGUAUUUACCUCUCCCAUUAACAGCAGGGGCAAAUUUUACUACUUUUUUUCCUAUGAGUCACCCAGAAGGAACAAAGCUAGGCAACACUAUGUUGCAGCUUGUUUUGUCUUGCAUGAUAUCUACAUGUGUAUUGCAUGAAUUUGAAUGAAUUGCAAAACCAGCAGGACAAUCCCCUUGUAUUCAGAUCAGGCCAUCAAUCCCGUCCUUAGAGUCACUCAGUGUGACAAGGUUCCACGUGUAACAAACAGACUAUUUGCUUAUCUUCAUUCCAUUUAGCUGGGCUGAGUGUGCAGAAUGAGCCAUGCAGUGUGGGCUGAGUUCAUCCCUUGUUACCUAAGCAAGGGUCAUGUGCUCUCACUGACCCUUAGUGAAUGUAAUACUCUAUGAGAUUUUAUUUGUUUAUUUUCCAAAGGCACUUUUCAGAGUCUAAUUCCACUUUGGUAUGGUAACAAAGUCAUGAGAUCUACUGUAUUAGUCAGAAAUAACCGGUCUGGUGAGACAUGGAAUUGGAAGGCAUGGCAGGGACAAGUGGGACUGUAGGACUAAAGAACCGGUCUUCAGCUGCUCAGGUGAGGGAUGUCAUACAUGAAUUAAUAUUUUAGACUCAGCUGGGUGACAUUUUCCCCGAUGCAGAAGUGUCACCACACUGAAGGGCUGUUGUGAUUGGCACUCUCCCCAGAAGAGCAGGUUGCCAGUAAGUUAGGUCAGGACUGCACUGCAGGUUUGAGCUCUGAGACUGAAAUAAGGGCUGGUGCAACUCAGGGUUCAGUUUGCAGAACGGUGUGAAGGCAGUUUGUCUUCUGCUUCUGACACAGAGCACGUCCUGAAUGCAUUACUAAAAAAUGUUGAUGUCAUUUCUGACACAAAUAGUUGGUGUAUAGAUCUUCGAUUUUGUCAAUUUUUCCUUCAAUUUAGGUGGUUAAACUGAACUCAAGGCUUUUAGUUUCAUUAAUUGAAACAUAUAAUUGAUUAUUUGUUUCGCAGUGGAAACUCAGAGUGGACCUUAGUGAUUUCCUUUAUAUACUGUCCCUGAAGUCAGAGGAGCCCAAAGCAGGAAAGCAUCCAUCCAUUUCAGAGCUGACGUAGUGGUCCUGUUGGGGAUGUGUGCGUUUCUCUGGGGGGGGCGGCACUCCUGCAGGUAACUGCAAUACCUUCAGCAAUGAUUGGCAGCCUGAACAAACUCCAGCAGUUGCUGGGGAUGUGGGUAGCACAGGAUCAGGAUCCUCUGAGCGCAUCCUUCCUUGGCCAUACUGGAAGAGAGAGGGUUCAAGAAGAGAAAACAGAACUGUAUUAAAUCCAGCUAACUACAAACAAAAGCCAUCUGGUAGAACGUCUUUCUUUCCAGCACACUGAUGUUUCCUGUGGCAUGUUGCUUUGUGCUCUGCUAGUAAUCCUAAGUGUGACAGAUGAAGUAUGACAUGCACAGUGACUGAGAAAAAUUGCUGGUUGUCAGAAUAUCAGCAGCCGAUACAACAGCGAUGUUUAUUGACUUCCAAAUGGCAAUGUAAUCUUAGUUACUGGUAAACUUUGCGUUGUCCAACCUGAUGCUCUCUGUGAAAACGUAGCUAAUGGCUUUAUAGAAAGGGUGGCGGCUCAGCGUACUGAUCGUGCAUAUUAAAUUGUCAGUGUAGCACACUGAUGGAUUGCUGUACCAGCUUUUUAAGAUGAUGUUUUUCCUCUUGGUCUUAAAAUAACUCUGCUUUGAGGUCUUCCAGCCAAAAGCAAUCAAGAGAUAAAAUCCACCAGCAUGCUUAUUAGAAAAUAAUGAUGUAAUUGGAGAGUGCAAGGAGGGUAAGGAAUUAUUCACAUUAAAGGAAAUGGUUGAACCACCAAAGGGAAUGUGCUCCAUUUGUGACCACAAAGAAGAAACACAAAAUUGGGUUCUCAUUCAUUUUACAUGGAUGAGUGAAUGUGAGCGGCUGAUGUCUGGAGAAAGAAGUCUGCCUGCAUAUUGCUAAGCAAUAUACCUGAACUGUGGCAGAACUGGAGAUACAGACAUGACUAACCAAUUUAAUGGGAAAAAUUCAGGUAACUGGUUACUUUGGUUACUAAAUUCUUCGAUUUCCUUAAGAGGACUUAAAUGACUCAGAAAGCUGACUAGAAAAAAAGCAACGCAGCUCACUACAUAAACAUUUUUUUAGAGUAAAGAAAACCUUAAGAAGGGAGAAAGGACUUCAGAAUUCCCAGAUGUGUAAUUCCAUCAGGAGAAAUGGUAAUAAGAGUUCUAAGUGAUGUAUACACAGCUUCAUCUGGGGACUCUCAAUGAAAACAAUGACAUCUGAAAUGUAUCGAUAAUUGACUGUUUUUGUGAUGAUAUGAGGGCAGCAUUUAUGUAGGCAAAAGAACAACUUCAGUUUUCCAUUUGGAAAGGAAUGGCAUGGAAUAAGAUCUUGACUAUGCAAAUGCCUACAGUUUAAUGAUAACGUAACUGUAGGUAUUUGUAUUAUAUAUAUUCGUAUAAAUAUAUUUGUAUAUAUAUAUUUGUAGACUCAGUUACUGCUGUGCUGGGAUGCUUCCAUCAGAUUGCACAAGCACUGCUGGAGAAAUGGGAAGGAAGAUUGUUUACAAUCAAUUCUGCAAUGUUGUACACAGAUAGCCAGGCAGACCAAAACUUGCUCAGUAAAAUUGUUUAAUGUUAAAAAAUACAGAGUGAUACGUAGCAAAUUCUAAAUGUUAAGCAAAGUGUUUCUCAUUGGAGUGAAUUUAUUGCUGCAAUGAGAAACUUUAAGUUUUCUCUUCAAGAGGAAUUCAUAGGAACAAGUAGGGCCAAAAAUAGCUCUCAAAGCCACAGAGAGGUAGAUUCUGUCCCACAUCUGAGGUAUACUGAGCUUUGAGAUAUUUAGGGGGCAGCUAUAAAAUGUGGGAAGAUGUGCCAUUGGCAGCUAAUAUACAAACUGAUUGGUUCUCUGUCUUGUGCAUGUAUGAUUUUGUGAAAGGCAGGGAUUAAUGAACAAAGAAAGAAGGAACAGCAAUGUCAUAGUCACACCACUUUGAGUAUCUUAGUAUAAGGAUUUAAAAUUUAUGAUUUUUUUCCUACUUGGGACAGAUUUAGUUUUGUUUCUGAAAUGGCCAUGUAACUUUUCUAUGAUGCUCCCGAGCUUCAUUCACUAAAGAUGUGUGGGACCUAUUGUGCGCUAAUAAGAAAUUACCAACAGACUGACUCAGUGGAAGCCCUUCGCUGCAGAAAUGUUAAGAGAAACAGGUGUUAUGGACUGGCUUUAUUGUGCAGAACCUGAAAUAUGAACAAAAUUAAAAACUGCUAUUAAUCACUGUAAAAAGGAACUUCAUUGUAUUUUUCCCACUGUGGCUUUGUUCUCCAGUGGCUAAAAGGCCAUUUUUCUCUGCUUUGCUGUAUCCUUUCACUUUUGAUUUAAUAUUGGGUCCAAGAACAUGAAAUAAGUGUUGUAGUCCUAAGCUUGCUCUGCCGAUGAGCAAUUGAAUUGCUGUGGUCUUCACAGGAUCUAGCAAAGAUUCAGUAAGAGAGUAAAAGGAAAGAGGUGACAUUUCUGCUGGAAUCAAACUGUAAAGAACUGGGUUUGCAGCGUUGAGUCAGCUUUGUUCUGCUGGUCUGUCAAGAACUGAACUAGCCAUACUUUGUUUAUA